UGGAGCAUGUGGUUAAUUCGACGCAACGCGAAGAACCUUACCAGGGCUUGACAUCCCCUGACCGCGUAUGAAAGUACGUUUCACCCUCGGGUGACAGGGAGACAGGUGGUGCAUGGUUGUCGUCAGCUCGUGUCGUGAGAUGUUGGGUUAAGUCCCGCAACGAGCGCAACCCUCGCCUUUAGUUGCCAGCAUUCAGUUGGGCACUCUAGAGGGACUGCCGGUGUCAAACCGGAGGAAGGUGGGAUGACGUCAAGUCCUCAUGGCCUUUAUGUCUAGGGCUACACACGUACUACAAUGGCCGGUACAAAGGGCAGCCACUCAGCGAUGAGGCGCUAAUCCCAUAAAGCCGGUCUCAGUCCGGAUCGCAGUCUGCAACUCGACUGCGUGAAGUUGGAAUCGCUAGUAAUCGUGGAUCAGCAUGCCACGGUGAAUACGUUCCCGGGCCUU
RNAcentral lists this ribosomal RNA (447 nucleotides) under uncultured Desulfovibrio sp. RNAcentral describes it as "bacterial SSU rRNA". It matches the Rfam family "Bacterial small subunit ribosomal RNA", at positions 933 to 1382 of the family's 1533-position model. Lineage: Bacteria; Pseudomonadati; Thermodesulfobacteriota; Desulfovibrionia; Desulfovibrionales; Desulfovibrionaceae. The record is from RNAcentral.